AUGCUUCGGUAAAAAACUUAGUUAUGUUUGCGGUGUGGUGUAAUUAUGUAUGCAGUAAACUGGUUGUUUGUGCUUGAGAAAGGAGACGAUUUUUUUUAUCAAGGUCUGGGUGAGUGACUGGAAAUUUCCAGGUUCCUGAGCCUGGUUGGGAUCCACCCAUGGGCAGGGCCACCACAGCAUCACUCACCUGAGGCAAUCAGGCUGGGGACAUUUAAGCUCUACGCUGACGUCUCUUCUCCGCCUACUUGAUGGUACUCCACGUUGCAGAAUAACACACACCUUUGGAUUCUGGCUUAAUACCUGCUCUCUAGAAAUCCCUCCGUGCCUCACCUGCCUGCCCUCUCACCACCUCGGAACCAACAGAACUCAGGUCAGUCGUCUCACGCCCUCGACUUCUCCUGGACUCACGCCACCUCUCCCUCCAGCCUCUAUCACUCCUCCUGCAAGUGGAUGCAGACUUCCUCUUUUGCGCUGUCACCUGACUUCAACGAGGAAGCCCCAAUCAGAAGACAGUGAGAGAUGCAUGUCAUCAGUUUUCUUCAGGUUUUUUUUAUCAGAAGUUGAAAGAUAAUGAUAACAGUACAUAAAUAUCCACCUUCUCUGGAAGUACUGGAGUCAGGAUUUGCGAAUGAUAAUGGGAGCCUGCAGGCAGCACCAUCACCAGCUGGUGAGUCUGUUGGAGGAGAUGGAAUGACUGUGAUAUGAGGAAACUCCUUUGACUCCAUAACCAGGUCAUGGUAUAGGGAGAGGAUGAGAUUGAUCAUGGAGUCCAAAAGGGUGCAGCUCAAAGGACUGUUCCUCAAGUUUGAGAUGACCAUUUGACGUUUGACAACCAGCUUAGCUACGAGAAAACAAAAGUUCAUCUAUGUUAAUCAUGACAUCAAACAAAUUAUAGGUUUAAAUGUCAAGACAUGACUUUAUAUUAUCAUAUGCUAUUUCCACAGACAGGGAAUGAGAGACCCACAGCAGAACUCAUUAUUUAUGACAGACUUAAAACUUUUCAUGUUGUAGAAGGUGAGGAAAAAUGAUUUUUGCACUGUAAAUGGCUCAAUUGCGUGCUUUAAACCAAAGGUCAAACCAGUAACUUCAAAUUCGAAUCCAGACUCGGCUUGUUAGCAUGUUGCAAACACUAAAAAGGUCCUGCUGAUUGCCAUUUUAGCCACAUGUAAAUUAAAAAUUUACAGCUCACAGUAAAGAACAACUUGUGUUUUUGGUGACUGUGAUCAAAGUUUUUAUUGACUAUGGAUCAAAAUUUUCAUUAAAUGAAUAAUGGACACAUUGUCAGUAAGGUUGCAGAGAGUAUCAGUGAUGUUUGGUGCUGAAUAUGAAGUCAUGAUUUGAAGUUUUCAAUCUGUCGAAAAUAAAACGGCUAAAGUCA
Oreochromis niloticus (Nile tilapia) is the source of this 1378-nucleotide long non-coding RNA. RefSeq lists it as uncharacterized. The record is from RefSeq and is a predicted model, not a curated record. The transcript has 2 exons. NCBI's taxonomy places the organism in Eukaryota, Metazoa, Chordata, Actinopteri, Cichliformes, Cichlidae.